Aphis gossypii (cotton aphid) is the source of this 722-nucleotide long non-coding RNA. RefSeq lists it as uncharacterized. The transcript has 4 exons. NCBI's taxonomy places the organism in Eukaryota, Metazoa, Arthropoda, Insecta, Hemiptera, Aphididae. The record is from RefSeq and is a predicted model, not a curated record.
ACAAACACGGGUACUUUAUCCACGCAUAAUAUAUAGGUACCUCUAAUAAACGUUAUUAAAUUAUAUUAUAUUCGAGUUUAAUUGUUUUACGUGCGUGCGUGCGUCGCAUACGCCCGUGUGAGUGAAAACGAGUGGUUUUUCUUUCUUUCUCCGACUCUUUUUGUUUUAUAAUAUAUUAUGUCAUAUUAUUUUUUAACUCUUCGAUCGAGGACGUAGGUAUUGUUAUUAUAGUGUGUAUCGUCGUUUGCCAGCGGUCGUCGUCGUCGUAAAAAGUCUGAGAAAAAAGGUGCAAAUAUAUUAACCUUUGAGCUAAUAAUAUCGACAAAUAUACUGUGCACAUAAGAGCUUAUUACAGAACUGCAGCACGAUGAAAAAAGAAAAAAAAGUUUAAUUGCGGCAUAGUUGAAUCGAAAUCGUUCGUUAACUUAAGCCGAUUAGCUGAGAAACGCAUGUGAAUACCCUACAUCAACGUUUCCGGUACUUGCAACAAAUAAAAUUGUCGGCAGUUAAACAGCCGCUACAGGUAGCGGCUCUAGCUCGUUCAAAGAUCAUUAUUAAACCGCGGCACGAACAUUUGGCGUGAUUUACACACAAAAAUGUUUACAAUAUCAAUCAAAACAAAAUACACACAAACUGAUGAUACUAACAGCGAUUACUGAUCAUCAUCAUUGCCGUGCAUUGAUCACCUUGAUUGCGUGCUGUGUACACGCGUAGAAUGUACG